RNAcentral lists this ribosomal RNA (241 nucleotides) under uncultured Staphylococcus sp. Its description in RNAcentral is "partial 16S ribosomal RNA". It matches the Rfam family "Bacterial small subunit ribosomal RNA", at positions 99 to 334 of the family's 1533-position model. Lineage: Bacteria; Bacillati; Bacillota; Bacilli; Caryophanales; Staphylococcaceae. The record is from RNAcentral.
CGGACGGGUGAGUAACGCGUGGAUAACCUACCUAUAAGACUGGGAUAACUUCGGGAAACCGGAGCUAAUACCGGAUAAUAUAUUGAACCGCAUGGUUCAAUAGUGAAAGACGGUUUUGCUGUCACUUAUAGAUGGAUCCGCGCCGCAUUAGCUAGUUGGUAAGGUAAUGGCUUACCAAGGCAACUAUGCGUAGCCGACCUGAGAGGGUGAUCGGCCACACUGGAACUGAGACACGGUCCAG